UACCUCGGCUCAAAUUCAGCUUGAAAUUAAUUUCGAGCCUAAAUCACUACAACAAAAACGGUCUAUAGCGAUACUUUUAAAUGUAGGUACAUGUCAAAAAAGUGCUGCUAGCUAAAAUUACCGACACUUUUAAAAAGUGUUGCUAUAUGUGGGGUCGCUAGGUAUAUAGUGACAGUUAAAGAGUGUCGCUAUAACCUAAAAGAGUGCUGCUAAUUUACCAACACUUAUUUAAGCAUUUAGCAACCGCCGAAACUCUAUCGCGUUGGCUGCAGUAGCGGAUGAGGACGACAGAAAAGGUUCUUCGUCUAGAAUUUCAGUGGAUUAAGUGAAGAGAGAAGAAAAGAUGGUAAUUGAUUUUUUUUUUUUNUAGAAGUAGGCUAACUACAAGUCUUUCGUCUAUUAGAUUUUUGGCACUUGGAUAAAGAGAUGUGCGGUUAGGAUGAUAAUGCUCUCCGGUUAGGAUGAUAGUGGCCCCUAAGAUUAAGUGGGUGGUUGGUUGAAUAGUAUGAUCUAACAUGUGAAAAUAAUCAAAAAGGUAGAUCUAAUAGUGGAAAACUUGAUAGCACCAAGCGCUUGGAAUUAUCGAUUGUAUAGUAGCUGGACUCUCUCUAUAUAUAUAGUCCGACUAAACUACUUUCAGAAGCACAGCUCAUGUGGUGCUUUUAAUUUUUUGAAUCUUUGGAUCAAUCUUUUUGAUCAUUUCUAGCCCUUGGAUUGAUACUAUUACCCUAGGGGAACCAACUAUCAUUCCAACCAGACAAUUCUUGAUCUAAGAGUCAAAAAAUCAGAAACACCAACGUCUUUAUACUUCUGAAAGCAUAGUAGUGCUACACACACACACACACACACACACACACACACACACACAUAUAUAUAUAUAUGUGUGUGUGUGUGUGUGUGUGUGUGCACGCGCGCAGAAGUAGGCUACUAUACUAUUAAUAACUCUAAGUCAUUGGUCUAUUAGGUUUUUGGCCAUUGGAUAAAGGAAUGUACGGUUAGGAUGAUAGUGGUCUCAUAGGGUUGAGUGGGUGGUUGGUUGAAUAGUGUAAUUUAACAAGUAAAAAUUGUCGAAGGGGUAGAUCUAAGGAUGAAAAAUGUGGUAGCACCAAGUGUUUGGUACUAUGGAUAGCACAGUAGCCAAACUUUCUCUGUCUAUAUAUAGUACUGUUAAAGGAAUAGUAUUUAGUACCUAUUUUGUAGUCCAUGGAUGCCUUGGGUUUAGUAGAGGGUAGGUGGAAUAAUAUUGAUCCAAGGGCUAAAAAAUAGAUUGUAAAUACUAUUUCUUUACUAUCAAUAGUAUAGCGUGAUAUAUAUAUAUAUAUAUAUAUCUCUCUCUCUCUCUCUCUCUCUCUCUCUCUCGAUCCGAUGAUAUGUUAGAUAUCAUAGCUCGAGACCAUGAUAUUACAACCAAAAGCUAGAAUCCCGCAAGUUUAGUUGCUAAGUGUGGCAAUUUUAACUAGAUCCCAUAAAUUUUAAAGAUCUUUAUUUUAAAAUAUAAAAAAGCUGUAUCAAAUAAAAUACUAGUUUGAUAAAGUUUGAACAGUUAAAAGUUACCGAUAAUACUGCUCAAACCUCAAAUUGCCACAUUUUCUUAGAUUUAAAGAAGUUUAAAACUAUCUUUUAUGAAAAUUGAUAUAUCUAAUUCCAAUUGUAAGAACUAGAACUUAAAUUUUCAGGAUAUGAAUUUAAAAUUUCUAAUAAGUUAAAGGUAGCAGGUAAAACUAUAUUAAAUAAAUGAUUCAUUUGCUAUAGCUUUUUUUGAUUUUAAAAUAAGGAUUUUUUAAGUAUAUGGGAUUUAGUAUAAAUUGCCACACCUAGCAACUAAACUUGUGGGAUUCUAGCUUUUGUUUGUGAUAUCAUGGCCCCGAGCUAUGAUAUCUAUCAUAUCAUCGGAUUAAGAUAUAUAUAUAUAUAUAUAUAUAUAUAUAUAUAUAUCUUAAUCCGACCUCAUGAUAAUUAUCAUUUUGCGAGAAAAAUGAUAGUUCAAAAAUUGGGAACCUACUUUUUAACAUCCCAGCCCUACUAUAAUCAGCCAAUCUUAACUCAUCAGAGGGAUCCCAACUCGCCAGUGGUGACCUAAUAUCAUAAAUUAGGUUACCAAUCUUUAUUAUUUUUCUCAACUAGGUUUUCUAUUUUUUGACCAUCGUUGUUACUCUAAAACGAUAAUUAUCAUCGGGUCAGAGAGAGAGAGAGAGAGAGAGAGAGAGAGAGAGAGAGAGAGAGAGAGAGAGAGAGAGAGAGAUAUAUAUAUAUAUAUAUAUAUAUAUAUAAGAACUACUAUGCUAUCAAAAAUAUAGAGGAUUUGAUGUUUUUGAAUUUUUGACCCUUUGAUUAGAAAUUAUAUGGUUGGGAUGAUUGCGGUCUCCCCUAGGAUUAAAUAAUACUCUUAGGAUUGAGUGAUCCCUACAAGGUAAUAAUAAUAUUAAUCCAAAGAUAAGAAACAAUUAAAGGGAUUGAUAUAAGAAUCAAAAAAUCGAAAGCACCAGAUUUCUAUACUUUCGAUAGCAUAGUAGCUUUACUAUAUAUAUAUGUAUAUUCAAGCUUUUCGAGCUUUUCGAGCCUAAUUCGAACGAGCCGAGUAAUACUCAAGCUCGACUUGAAAUAAAUUUCGAGCCUUUUUUUUUUUUUCAAACUUGGCUCAUUUAAUUUCGAGUCGAGCUCGAGCGAGCCAAAUAUCGAGUCGAACGCGAGCCGACUUGCUCAUUUGCCAGCCCUACUAUCAAUAGUAUACUAGCUCAACUUUCUCUCUCUGUAUAUAUUUAUAUUUAUACUUCUUUCAAUUAAAUAUAUGCGUGCACUAGAUGCAAAACCAAUUAAGCAAAUAGUAAAUGCGCUUUAAAUGUCUAUAGAUGCAUGCUUAAUUUGACUUUCUGAUUGGAAUAUACUCCUCCCUUUUUUCAGUUCGAGUACUAUGACUGCUAGUAUAGUGUACGUAGUUUGCACCCCUAUUUAUAGCUUUUCAUGUUUAUGUUUGCUUCGUGGGCUCUAAUAAAAGUUUAAGAAAGAAAUGUUCCAUUAGUACACAAAAAAAAAAGAGUGCAAUAGGAUUGAGUCCCACUGAUGUAUUUUUAUGAGAACGAUCAUUCAUAUAUACUUAUAAACGCGUUUUCGAUAAUAGAGCUUUUGAAUGAAAUGAUCUAUACCGCUAAAUAUAAUUUAGAGUAUUUAAAUAUUCUAGAAAUUAAAUUUUAUAAUUUAGAACAUUUUUUUUGCAUAUUAUUUUGCCAUAAAAUCAUUAUAUGAGAAAUGCUAGGUCUACUUAAACCCUCUCCCUAGGGUUUAAACAACGAGCAAACAAUCCUCUUUGGGUCGUAGACUUAGCAUUUCUCUUUUGUGUUUGUUAGAAUUAAAACCGAGAAGAUCUAGUUCGUCGGAUGCGAAAAUACCAAAAGAGAUCUGAGAAAGAGAGAAGAAAAAUAAAGCACACAAUAUUUACUUGGUUCGGCCACUGGCCUACGUCCACGGACGAAGACGGAGCGAAAAUCUUUAUUAUAAUCAAAGUGGUGUACAAAAUAUGCCUCUCUCACAAAACCCUAAUCCCAAAAAAUACACCUAUAUUUCCUCUCUCAUCUUCCGCACUAAAUCAAUAGCAAAAAUGGUAUAUUUAUAAUAGUGGCUAAAUCCUAAUACGAUUAGGAAUACAAACCCACUAAGAUUAGGAAUAUCUCAAUAAAAUUAGGCAUAAUCUAAACUUAACUUAAUGGGAUAAUUAAAACAGAAUAGAGUUAGAAGACCAUGCGGUACUAGAAUUCGGGACAUAUUUAACAGUGUUUUAGUUUUUUUUUUUUUCAGAAAAAAAGUAAUAAGACUAGCGGAGAAAUUAAAGCUGGCCCUAAGAUACGUACAACUCCCUUUUAGGUACAGGGCCAGCACAACUAUUAUUAUUAUAUAUAUAGUUCUUAAUUAGACUCUUAAUUAUGUGAUAUAUAAUAGAUUUGAUCUCUACUAUAUCCUUUGAUUAUUACCACUUUUGCUCAAAUUAUUUCUUUGAUCAACUUCAAAAUAAUGAACUCAAGUGGUACAAACAAGUACUGGACCUCAUGAAGCAAAGAAACUCAAUGAUGUUUCCUACUCUAAAUUAAUUUAGCUCUUUUGAUUCUAAGCUUGUUUUAUACUAUAUGCUAGCUAGCUACUGUUUCUUUUAUUAUUUUUGCUCUUUUUAAAAACAUUACUCACUAUUUUUCUAAACACAAAAUGACAGAAUAAUUAAGGAAAAAUUUGAAGAGAGCUAUAUAUCAAAUUGAGACAUGCAAAGCAAAACAUGAAAAAGGAAGUGCAACUUUUUAAUUUCUUAAAGGUUUAAAUUAAUUUAUUUUUUCCAGAAAAAAAUUCCACUAACUGAUCAAUUACCAAUAGUUUUAAUUAUCUUUCCCUUCUUUCCCAACCAUAAAGAUGGUCCCUUUUAUCUCUCUCAAAAAAAAAAAAAGAGAUGGUCCCUUUGCUUUUUUUACAGUUUUUUUUGUGUAUGUAUACUACUAAUUAUUAAAAUAAUAAUCCAAUACUGUGCCCACUGCAUUAAUAUAUGUACUCCCAAUGCAUAAAAAACUCAACACAAGAGCACCUAAAACAAGACAAUUAUUAAAGGACUUAUAUAAAUAGUACAAAAAGAUAAAGCCACAAAUCAAAGGAUAUGAGGGUGUUACUGUGUUACACCCAAAUGAGUGCACAAAGCUUUUCUAUUAAAUAAGCUAAAACAUGUGGAGCUUAUCUCAACUAUGAGUUAUUCUAUGAGUUAUUUUGAUUGGUUCAGUUACAAACUCUUUCAAAAUUUUGAUUUUUUACUAUCUAAUUUUUUAAUUUGUUGGAUUCGAGUCGAUCAACAAUAUUUAUAUAUAUAUAUAUAUAUAUAUAUAUAUAUAUAUAUAUAUAUAUAAACAAACACACCAUUAAAGCUCCAGUUUCUUACACAAUUUAUAAGUGCCUUUCACUACGUUUGGUGGGUGAGAACUAUUCUGGCUCUUCUACUGCAGUGGGAGGACCCCCGGCUACUGCAGUGUAAAUUUCCAUUUUUAUCAUAAUAUUAUUUGAUAAAAAUAGAAUCGAUACGUUUUAAAAUUUUAAAAAUAAAAUAAAUUAAACUCAGUCAGUCAUUAAGAAACGGAAGUUUUAAAUUCAAUUAAUAAAUAAAACUAUUUAUAUAUCAGUGCUGUUAACGUGCUUUAUAUGAUUGAUUCGGAAAUUCUAUUUGCUCCGUAAAGUUUAAGAUUUCAGUUNAGUUACAUUUAUUGCCAUGAAUAAAAAGUUCAAAAUAAUAAUAAUAAUAAGAUAAUGAUAAUAAGAUAAUGAUAAUAAUAUUAAUUAUCAGGAUUUUUUAUGUUAAUCAAUAGAUUCAAUAAUUUGGCUACUAAUUUACGGACUUUAUUCGAUCGAUCAAAUUCAAUAAAUCUGAUUAAUUAAUGCCAUUAUUUUUUGCAACUAAUUAAUAAUCAUUAUGUCACGCUAUUAGUUUUUUUAAAAAAAGUUAUUUUUGGAAUGGUUCUCAUGGUUGACGAAGCAAUUAAUAUAUCUAGGAAUUCCUAGCAUAUCGGAGUCACGAUCUAUCUCAGGUUGUAAUUUAGAUCCCUUAUGGAGGGAUUUAUAAUUUUUUUAACUUGCUAAUGCAUGCUUAGUUACUUACCAACAAGAAGUUAUUAAAGGUACUCUACUCCAUGAGUAGUACAAAUUAGGAUUAGAAAAGGAAAAAAGAAACAAAUUAACAAGUGAGAUAUGUACAAUAAGUAGGUUUUAUGAAUAUUUCUUCUUCUUCUUCUUCUUCUUCUUCUUCUUCUUUUCUCUCUCGCAAAGGUCGACGGCAUUAGUAUAUUGCAGAAGUAGCUUUUCGACGCAUGGAAAGAUCGUCGUAGUUGGGAGUCUAGCGAUAAGAACCAAUAACUUUUAACUUAAUAAAGAAACCACAUUUCAAACAGUAAAGUUAGGUAAUAAUCAGCCAAACCCCGCAUCGGGACAGAUAGACAUCUGAAUAUAUAAAGAAGAAACAUUUUGUAAUUAAUCCACUUGCUUCUUAUAGAUAUAUAUAAGAAAGUGCUAUAUUUGAAAAGAUAUUUUUUUUUCCCUCAACUUUAAGAGGUAUUAGAAAAUGGAAGGUAAAAAAAAUAAAAUAGAAUGAUUUUGAAUUUAGAAAAGUAAUGCCUUUGGGUUUUGAAGCUGACCUUUGACUAAAUUACUCAACAACAAUAAACUUAUUAAUCUUAAUUACUCAACACAACACAUAAGUAUGUGUUCAUAUAUAUGUAUGUAUAUAUAUAUGUAUAUAUUUAUGAGAAGUGUUUUCAAUAUAUUUCAGUUGAAAACUUCAAAUUCAUCAUAUUUAUUGUUGUUAUUACUGAUUCUUAUGUACUGCAUAUUGUUGCCGCAAAUCCAUUGUGUAAAUAGGAUUUUUUUUUUUUUUCCCUUAGAAAAGAUAAUAUAUAUUACUGUUUUUUAUAUAAAUGUAUACUCAAUAUAUAUAAUGUCUCCUAAUAACACCGAGGAACUGUAUCAUUAAUUCCUAGGAUUAAAUUUAAUUAGAAAGGAUUAAAUUUAAUUGUUUCGAAUGUUGGCUUAAUUACAAAGGAUAAAUCUUCUAUUAAAGAUGUUAAAGAAGUUAUUUUUUACAAGUCAUUAUUGAGAACCAAAAUGGAGGAGAAAGUUUGCCAGAUGAUCGAUCGAUCGAUCGCUCCGUUAGUUUCAAAAAUAUUGGUACAGUUCGUCGAUGACGUACAAUCGAUGGAGAAGAUAGAAGAUCGAGUACGGAGUUUUUCUUUUUUAAUUUCUACGAUUAAUAAUUAAUUUGCUACAGCUAAUAAAUGAUGAAGCUAAUUAAUUGAUGGUUAUUUUUAAAGUAUGUCAAAGGACUGUAUUAGCUGUUCAAAAAUAUAGCUAAUAAUGUACUAUCAUGUACAGAUUAAUGAUGUACGGCGCUCUAUCUGAGUUCGCUGAACCCUUUUCUUCAUUGCACCUAGAUUGCCAUCACCAUAAAUUUGUUGGCUUAAAGAGGUCAGCAUUUUGCCCUGUGGCGGGAGGCCGGAUUGAACCGAGUUAUAUUCGAAAUGGCAGAAGAUCGGGUUGGACUAAGUCAUGUUCGAAGUGGCAUCGAGACCCGUGGAUGCUGUGUUUGUAUAUUUAAAUGAAUUGGUUGCAUAUUUCUAACAAUUCGAGCUUUGGAAUGAAUGAUCAGUGCCAACGAUCCGAUAAAAUUGACUUGUCUAGCAAUUGUUUAGUUAGCAAAGACGACUUGGCAUCUUCAGUAGUAGUAAAAAAGUUUCAGAGGAUUUGUCUGAAGUGCUUCUUUGAGAAGCUAGAGCUAGCCAAUAACAUUAUUAGUAUGUAUAAGACCUUAAUUUGGAGAUAACAUUUUCAAUAAAAUGUUAUUUGGUAGCCUCAGUAACUUUGUGUUUGGAAAUGUUUCAGAUCAUUAACUCUUUGAAAAUCUGCAUACACUCUCCAUUUCGAUUCAAGUACUAAGUCAUUGGUGAGAUAGGCGAAACAAAAAUCAUGCUUAAAAUUUGUACAUUUUAACAUCCAAUUUGACUUUGUCGGAUCAUUGGCGCUAACCAUUAAUCCAAUUUGACCGUUUUUUUUGUAAUAUUUCAAAAUCUAUCCAAAAAUGCUCAAAUUUUCACCGUGCAAGAAAUUGCACCAAGUGCUGAUAAAGUUGUGUGGAUUCGUUGUAGAUUCUCAGCUAGUAGAAAUAUAUAGUCUAUCAAUAAGAAUAUACAACUUCGUGACAAUCUCUCGAAGUAAGUGGUAUUGUUAAUAGUUAGUUGGUAAUAAACUUAUGAUUUCAAAUAUGAAAUUUUCAACAUUUUCUAAAUACUAUGGAACUGGUAAAACAAAUGACGUGGUUCAAACUUAAGAUCUUCUACUCUGAUAUUACAUUAAUAAUGCAAAACAACCGUUUUCUCUAAGAAUUUAAACUAAAAGAGAAUGACGUUUUUACAUUUUAAUGUAACGAGGAGGCUAUUUAAGAAGUGUUUAGGAAAUUUUUCAAGUUUUGAGGAAUAUUCUUAAAAUUGCCUUUUUUUUGUUAAAUCAAAGAGAAUGUAUGUAGCAGGUUGACUCUCUCUCUCAAAAGGAAAAAAAAAAAAUUAUAUAUUCUACAAUGUGGGAAAUAAUUAAUUUAAAUACACAAUCACUACAACAAAAACGGUCUAUAGCGAUACUUUUAAAUGUAGGUACAUGUCAAAAAAGUGCUGCUAGCUAAAAUUACCGACACUUUUAAAAAGUGUUGCUAUAUGUGGGGUCGCUAGGUAUAUAGUGACAGUUAAAGAGUGUCGUUAUAACCUAAAAAAGUGCUGCUAAUUUACUAACACUUAUUUAAGCAUUUAGCAACCACCGAAACUCUAUCUCGUUGGCUGCGGUGGCGGAGGAGGACGACAGGAAAGGCUCUUCGUCUAGAAUUUCAGUGGAUUGAGUGAAGAGAGAAGAAAAGAUGGCAAUUGAUUUUUCUUUUUUUUUUCUUUUCUGUUUGUAAUUGGGCCAAAUGGACUGGGUGUGGUGGGUUGAGCAGAGUAAUCUUUUAUUUUUGGUUGGAUUGAGCUUUAUAUUUAGGCAUUAGUAGAUAUUUUUUUAAGUUUUAUCAUAAAUGAGACACUUACUCAAAAGUGUCCCAAACAUGUGUUCCUAUAACCUAAUUCUGUUGUAGUGAAUCUAAUCUAA
RNAcentral lists this long non-coding RNA (8637 nucleotides) under Ananas comosus (pineapple). Its description in RNAcentral is "long non-coding RNA (ACOM_LNC032909)". The record is from RNAcentral. Lineage: Eukaryota; Viridiplantae; Streptophyta; Magnoliopsida; Poales; Bromeliaceae.